This 253-nucleotide ribosomal RNA is filed under the name uncultured bacterium. Its description in RNAcentral is "partial 16S ribosomal RNA". It matches the Rfam family "Bacterial small subunit ribosomal RNA", at positions 524 to 776 of the family's 1533-position model. The record is from RNAcentral.
UACGUAGGUGGCAAGCGUUGUCCGGAUUUACUGGGCGUAAAGAGCGCGCAGGCGGUCGUUCAAGUCGCGUGUGAAAGCCCCCGGCUCAACUGGGGAGGGUCACGCGAUACUGAUCGACUCGAAGGCAGGAGAGGGAAGUGGAAUUCCCGGUGUAGUGGUGAAAUGCGUAGAUAUCGGGAGGAACACCAGUGGCGAAGGCGACUUCCUGGCCUGUUCUUGACGCUGAGGCGCGAAAGCGUGGGGAGCGAACCGG